CCUACGGGGGGCUGCAGUGGGGAAUAUUGCGCAAUGGGCGAAAGCCUGACGCAGCGACGCCGCGUGAGGGAUGAAGGUCCUCGGAUCGUAAACCUCUGUCAGCAGGGAAGAACGGUCACUGUGCUAAUCAGCAGUGAAUUGACGGUACCUGCAAAGGAAGCACCGGCUAACUCCGUGCCAGCAGCCGAGGUAAUACGGAGGGUGCGAGCGGUAAUCGGAAUUACUGGGAGUAAAGCGCGCGUAGGCGGUAUGUCAAGUCAAGGGUGAAAUCCCCGCGCUCAACGUGGGAACUGCCUUUGAAACUGGCAAACUUGAGUGUGUGAGAGGAUAGUGGAAUUCCAGGUGUAGGAGUGAAAUCCGUAGAUAUCUGGAGGAACAUCAGUGGCGAAGGCGACUAUCUGGCACAUAACUGACGCUGAGGAGCGAAAGCGUGGGUAGCAAACAGGAUUAGAUACCCUGGUAGUC
Molecule: ribosomal RNA, 465 nt
Filed under: uncultured bacterium
Lineage: Bacteria
Description: partial 16S ribosomal RNA
Rfam family: Bacterial small subunit ribosomal RNA
Source: RNAcentral